This 68-nucleotide transfer RNA is filed under the name Aneurus sublobatus. RNAcentral describes it as "tRNA-Cys". Lineage: Eukaryota; Metazoa; Arthropoda; Insecta; Hemiptera; Aradidae. The record is from RNAcentral.
GGCUUUAUAGUCAAUGUAUGAUUUUAAAUUGCAAGUUUGAAGUAGUGUGGAUUUAAGCACUAAAGCCU